GACGAACGCUGGCGGCGUGGAUUAGGCAUGCAAGUCGAGCGGCAAGGUUCCUUCGGGAACCCUAGAGCGGCGAACGGGUGAGUAACACGUGAACAAUCUGUCCCUACAUUCCGGAUAAUUCGCCGAAAGGCGUUGUAAUACGGGGGAGGAUCACUCUUUGGCAUCUUAGAGUGAGGGAAGGCGCAAGCCGUGCAGGGAGGAGUUCGCGGCCUAUCAGGUAGUUGGUGGGGUAACGGCCUACCAAGCCGACGACGGGUAGCUGGUCUGAGAGGAUGGUCAGCCACAUUGGAACUGAGACACUGUCCAGACUCCUACGGGAGGCUGCAGUCGAGAAUCUUGGGCAAUGCACGAAAGUGUGACCCAGCGACGCCGCGUGAAGGAUGAAGGCCCUCUGGGUCGUAAACUUCUUUUAUGGGGAAAGAAUAAAUGACGGUACCCCAUGAAUAAGCCACGGCUAACUACGUGCCAGCAGCCGCGGUAAUACGUAGGUGGCAAGCGUUGUCCGGAUUUACUGGGCGUAAAGCGUAUGCAGGCGGAUGCUUAAGUAGGAAGUGAAAGGUUGCAGCUCAACUGCAACACUGCUUCCUAUACUGGGUGUCUUGAGUGGCGGAGAGGGAGAUGGAACGACACGUGUAGCGGUGAAAUGCGUUGAUAUGUGUCGGAACACCAAUGGCGAAAGCAAUCUCCUGGACGCAAACUGACGCUGAGAUACGAAAGCUAAGGUAGCAAACAGGAUUAGAUACCCUGGUAGUCUUAGCCAUAAACGAUGUUCACUAGGUGUCGGGUCUUCGAUUCGGUGCCGCAGCUAACGCAUUAAGUGAACCGCC
RNAcentral lists this ribosomal RNA (827 nucleotides) under uncultured bacterium. RNAcentral's name for it is "bacterial SSU rRNA". It matches the Rfam family "Bacterial small subunit ribosomal RNA", at positions 28 to 873 of the family's 1533-position model. The record is from RNAcentral.